Molecule: ribosomal RNA, 751 nt
Filed under: uncultured bacterium
Lineage: Bacteria
Description: bacterial SSU rRNA
Rfam family: Bacterial small subunit ribosomal RNA
Source: RNAcentral
UUGACCUAGAGUGGCGUACGGGUGCGUAACACGUAUGCAACCUACCCUUUACAGGAGGAUAGCUCGGGGAAACUCGGAUUAAUACUCCAUAAGAUCGUAUUGUGGCAUCACAGCGCGAUAAAAACUUCAGGUGGUAAAGGAUGGGCAUGCGUCUGAUUAGUUAGUUGGCGGGGUAACGGCCCACCAAGGCGAUGAUCAGUAGGGGAACUGAGAGGUUGAUCCCCCACACUGGCACUGAGAUACGGGCCAGACUCCUACGGGAGGCAGCAGUAGGGAAUAUUGGUCAAUGGAUGGAAGUCUGAACCAGCCAUGCCGCGUGCAGGAAGACGGCCCUCUGGGUUGUAAACUGCUUUUUACUGGGGAUAAAAGGCCCUUGCGAGGGAGCUUGAAGGUACCAGUAGAAUACGCCACGGCUAACUACGUGCCAGCAGCCGCGGUAAUACGUAGGUGGCAAGCGUUGUCCGGAUUCAUUGGGUUUAAAGGGUGCGUAGGCGGCUAAUUAAGUCUGUGCUGAAAUAUCACAGCUUAACUGUGAGGGUGGCAUUGAUACUGGCUAGCUUGAGUACAGACGAGGUAGGCGGAAUUGACGGUGUAGCGGUGAAAUGCAUAGAUAUCGUCAAGAACACCGAUAGUGUAGACAGCUUACUAGACUGUAACUGACGCUGAGGCACGAAAGUGUGGGGAUCAAACAGGAUUAGAUACCCUGGUAGUCCACACUGUAAACGAUGAUUACUCGCUGUUGGCGAUACAC